Molecule: ribosomal RNA, 508 nt
Filed under: Klebsiella pneumoniae
Lineage: Bacteria; Pseudomonadati; Pseudomonadota; Gammaproteobacteria; Enterobacterales; Enterobacteriaceae
Description: bacterial SSU rRNA
Rfam family: Bacterial small subunit ribosomal RNA
Source: RNAcentral
CUCAAAUGAAUUGACGGGGGCCCGCACAAGCGGUGGAGCAUGUGGUUUAAUUCGAUGCAACGCGAAGAACCUUACCUGGUCUUGACAUCCACAGAACUUUCCAGAGAUGGAUUGGUGCCUUCGGGAACUGUGAGACAGGUGCUGCAUGGCUGUCGUCAGCUCGUGUUGUGAAAUGUUGGGUUAAGUCCCGCAACGAGCGCAACCCUUAUCCUUUGUUGCCAGCGGUUCGGCCGGGAACUCAAAGGAGACUGCCAGUGAUAAACUGGAGGAAGGUGGGGAUGACGUCAAGUCAUCAUGCCCUUACGACCAGGGCUACACACGUGCUACAAUGGCAUAUACAAAGAGAAGCGACCUCGCGAGAGCAAGCGGACCUCAUAAAGUAUGUCGUAGUCCGGAUUGGAGUCUGCAACUCGACUCCAUGAAGUCGGAAUCGACUAGUAAUCGUAGAUCAGAAUGCUACGGUGAAUACGUUCCCGGGCCUUGUACACACCGCCCGUCACACCAUGGG